UACGUAGGGUGCGAGCGUUGUCCGGAAUUAUUGGGCGUAAAGGGCUCGUAGGCGGUUUGUCGCGUCGGGAGUGAAAACCUCGGGCUUAACUCGGGGCUUGCUUUCGAUACGGGCGGACUGGAGGUAUGCAGGGGAGAACGGAAUUCCUGGUGUAGCGGUGAAAUGCGCAGAUAUCAGGAGGAACACCGAUGGCGAAGGCAGGUCUCUGGGCAUUAACUGACGCUGAGGAGCGAAAGCAUGGGGAGCGAACAGG
Molecule: ribosomal RNA, 253 nt
Filed under: uncultured bacterium
Lineage: Bacteria
Description: partial 16S ribosomal RNA
Rfam family: Bacterial small subunit ribosomal RNA
Source: RNAcentral